RNAcentral lists this ribosomal RNA (500 nucleotides) under uncultured bacterium. RNAcentral's name for it is "partial 16S ribosomal RNA". It matches the Rfam family "Bacterial small subunit ribosomal RNA", at positions 30 to 523 of the family's 1533-position model. The record is from RNAcentral.
AUUGAACGCUGGCGGCAUGCUUUACACAUGCAAGUCGAACGGUAACAGGGUGCUUGCACCGCUGACGAGUGGCGAACGGGUGAGUAAUGCGUCGGAACGUGCCGAGUAGUGGGGGAUAACGCAGCGAAAGUUGUGCUAAUACCGCAUACGUACUGAGGUAGAAAGUGGGGGACCUUCGGGCCUCACGCUAUUCGAGCCGCCGACGUAUGAUUAGCUAGUAGGUGAGGUAAAGGCUCACCUAGGCGACGAUCAGUAGCGGUGCUGAGAGGAUGAUCCGCCACACUGGAACUGAGACACGGCCCAGACUCCUACGGGAGGCAGCAGUGGGGAAUUUUGGACAAUGGGCGAAGGCCUGAUCCAGCCAUGCCGCGUGUCUGAAGAAGGCCUUCGGGUUGUAAAGGACUUUUGUCAGGGAGGAAAUCCCUAGUGCUAAUAACACUGGGGGAUGACAGUACCUGAAGAAUAAGCACCGGCUAACUACGUGCCAGCAGCCGCCGUAA